AGAGUUUGAUCAUGGCUCAGGAUGAACGCUGGCGGCGCAUUUAAGACAUGCAAGUCGAACGAAAAAUUUUUACCGAACGGAAAUGAAGAUUUAUUGGAUUUGAAGUUCACCAAAAAUUUUUAGUGGCGGACGGGUGAGUAAUACAUAGGUAAUCUGCCUUUCAGAGGGAAAUAACAAGAGGAAACUUUUGCUAAUGUCCCAUAAGACCACGUUGUGGCAUCACAGAGUGAUCAAAGGAGAAAUCCGCUGAAAGAUGAGCCUGUGGCUGAUUAGCCAGUUGGUGGGGUAAAGGCCUACCAAAGCAAUGAUCAGUAGCCGAGCUGAGAGGCUGGCCGGCCACAUUGGGACUGAGACACGGCCCAGACUCCUACGGGAGGCAGCAGUUGGGAAUAUUGGACAAUGGAGGAAACUCUGAUCCAGUGACGCCGCGUGAAGGAAGAAGGUCUUCGGAUUGUAAACUUAUUUUGUCAGGGAAGAAAAAAUGACUGUACCUGAAGAAAAAGCACCGGCUAACUACGUGCCAGCAGCCGCGGUAAUACGUAGGGUGCAAGCGUUAUCCGGAUUUACUGGGUGUAAAGGGCGAGUAGACGGCGUUGCAAGUCAGAUGUGAAAUCUUGGAGCUCAACUUCAAAAUUGCAUCUGAAACUGUAAUGCUAGAGUGCAGGAGAGGUAAACGGAAUUCCUAGUGUAGCGGUGAAAUGCGUAGAUAUUAGGAGGAACACCAGUGGCGAAGGCGGUUUACUGGACUGUAACUGACGUUGAGGCGCGAAAGCGUGGGGAGCAAACAGGAUUAGAUACCC
Molecule: ribosomal RNA, 800 nt
Filed under: uncultured bacterium
Lineage: Bacteria
Description: bacterial SSU rRNA
Rfam family: Bacterial small subunit ribosomal RNA
Source: RNAcentral